This is a long non-coding RNA of Cyprinus carpio (common carp), 1034 nucleotides long. The record is from Ensembl. Lineage: Eukaryota; Metazoa; Chordata; Actinopteri; Cypriniformes; Cyprinidae.
UGCAGGUUACAUCGUUAUGCCAGCAGGUGGCGACAAGUGACUGCCUUUAUGAGUGAGUCAUCACAUCUUGAUUCAGCAGAUUCAUUCAAAACACUGAUUCGUUAAAGAACGAAACAACUGUCUCUAUUAAUGUUUUCAAAGAAGAGUUUGUAAAAUAUUUGGAGACAUUAAUAGAGAUAAGACCCAAAGCAAGGUAUUUGUAUUCUUUAGAGGAUUUAGAUUAUACUCUUAGAGAAUUUUGGUUUUAUAAUGUUUAUAAGCCUCCUACUCCCUAUUUUUUCUUUUUCAUUGUAUGUACGUUUUUUUUUUUUUUUUCAAAAUAUUGAUUUUAUUUUAUUUAAUGUCAUUUUAUCUUAUUUUAUUUUUAUCUUACAUUUAUUAUGUGGUACCAUAUGUUGUAGUGUGUGAUAUUAAACUUUAGUAUAAUCAGUCUUGAUGUGUAAAUCUCUCAGUCAUGAAUGCCUCUCUGUGUUGUUGUUCCAAGCAUUUGAAUAAUAAAAUAAUAAUAAUAACAAAAGCGAGCCAUCAGUCAAGAAACAAGCGACGUUCCUUAUGAGUUUGAAUCACUGAAUCAUUCACUAGAAUGAAUCAUUCAAAAUACACUGAUUCAAUUUACCGAUUCAAAACGGUCAACGGUUGGCUAGCUUUUCUUCGCUUGGAUUAUUUUUGUUGGUGCAGCUAAAUUAGGCAAAGUACUGGCGAUAUUGUGUCUAAAAUCUGGCCAGAAAAGUCUUCCCAGAAAUGAUCAAUCAUUUGUCUAAAAGCUGGCCUGACAACAUAUCCGUUGCCAUAAACCAAGAAAAUCUACAACAAAUGUAACGUUACCUCUGCAGUACACUGGAGAUUUGGCAUGAUGAGGAAUGAGAUCUGUCUACAGUAGGAGCAGAAGGGACGUUUGGACCUACUGCCAGCAGACUGUAACAGACAGAUGGGUUUCCACACAAACAACAGAAAACAUCAAGAGCAGUCAGGCUGGCACACACAGAAGAAGAAUCAGCAAAGGGGAGAAAGUCUGGAUAAUGAGGCACUGCUAG